GACGAACGCUGGCGGCGUGCCUAACACAUGCAAGUCGAACGGAACUGUUUUGAAAGAUUUCUUCGGAAUGAAUUUGAUUUAGUUUAGUGGCGGACGGGUGAGUAACGCGUGAGUAACCUGCCUUCAAGAGGGGGAUAACAUUCUGAAAAGAAUGCUAAUACCGCAUGACAUAUCGGAAUCACAUGGUUCUGAUAUCAAAGAUUUUAUCGCUUGAAGAUGGACUCGCGUCCGAUUAGUUAGUUGGUGAGGUAACGGCUCACCAAGACCGCGAUCGGUAGCCGGACUGAGAGGUUGAACGGCCACAUUGGGACUGAGACACGGCCCAGACUCCUACGGGAGGCAGCAGUGGGGGAUAUUGCGCAAUGGGGGCAACCCUGACGCAGCAACGCCGCGUGAAGGAUGAAGGUUUUCGGAUUGUAAACUUCUUUUAUUAAGGACGAAAAAUGACGGUACU
Molecule: ribosomal RNA, 454 nt
Filed under: uncultured bacterium
Lineage: Bacteria
Description: bacterial SSU rRNA
Rfam family: Bacterial small subunit ribosomal RNA
Source: RNAcentral